This is a long non-coding RNA of Sinocyclocheilus rhinocerous, 300 nucleotides long. RefSeq lists it as uncharacterized. The record is from RefSeq and is a predicted model, not a curated record. NCBI's taxonomy places the organism in Eukaryota, Metazoa, Chordata, Actinopteri, Cypriniformes, Cyprinidae. The transcript has 3 exons.
GUGCUACGAGACUCAAACUGUAACCUGAGUCUGGAGAAAGAACAUUCGCUCUGGAGGGCUGGUGUAAACUACAUUAGUGGAUGGUUACCUUGGUCUAAAGCUCAGGAGGAUCCUGAGAAAUCAACAGAAUAAGGAAAGUCACCGUCAGAUGAGGAAUCCUCAGAAGGUGAAACAGGAGGGAGAAGAGGCUCAUGAGCGCUCCAAUGAGGUGGAUUAGUAAGAAUACAAGUCUAUAGUAUAAGACCUUCAUAAUGAUGUCAAGAUUAAACUCGUUCAUAAUGAAGCAAUUAAAAUAUUGCU